Molecule: signal recognition particle RNA, 299 nt
Filed under: Saimiri boliviensis boliviensis (Bolivian squirrel monkey)
Lineage: Eukaryota; Metazoa; Chordata; Mammalia; Primates; Cebidae
Description: Metazoan signal recognition particle RNA (ENSSBOG00000014941.1)
Rfam family: Metazoan signal recognition particle RNA
About the family: The signal recognition particle (SRP) is a universally conserved ribonucleoprotein. It is involved in the co-translational targeting of proteins to membranes. The eukaryotic SRP consists of a 300-nucleotide 7S RNA and six proteins: SRPs 72, 68, 54, 19, 14, and 9.
Source: RNAcentral
GCAGUGCGUACUGGCAUGUGCCUGUAGUCCCAGCUACUCGGGAGGCUAAGGCUGGAGGAUCGCUUGAGCCCUGGAAUUUUGGGCUGUAGUGCACUAUGCCAAUCUGGUGUUCGCACUAAGUUCAGCAUCAGUAUGGCGACAGUCCGAGAGCGGAGAACCACCAGGCUGCCUAAGGAGGGGUGAACCGGCCCAGGUCAGAAAUGGAGCAGGUCAAAACUCCUGUGCUCAUCAGUAGUGGGAAUGGACUUGUGAAUAGCCACUGCAGUGCAGCCUGGGCAACACAGCGAGACCCUGUCUCU